UACAGAGGGGGCAAGCGUUAUUCGGAAUUAUUGGGCGUAAAGGGCGCGUAGGCGGCCUGGCAAGUGGAAGGUGAAAUCCCUCGGCUUAACCGAGGAACUGCCCUCCAAACUGCUUGGCUUGAGUCCGGGAGAGGUGAGUGGAAUUCCCAGUGUAGCGGUGAAAUGCGUAGAUAUUGGGAGGAACACCAGUGGCGAAGGCGGGUCUCUGGGCAGUAACUGACGCUGAGGAGCGAAAGCGUGGGGAGCGAACGAGG
RNAcentral lists this ribosomal RNA (254 nucleotides) under uncultured bacterium. Its description in RNAcentral is "partial 16S ribosomal RNA". It matches the Rfam family "Bacterial small subunit ribosomal RNA", at positions 524 to 777 of the family's 1533-position model. The record is from RNAcentral.